Molecule: ribosomal RNA, 744 nt
Filed under: uncultured bacterium
Lineage: Bacteria
Description: bacterial SSU rRNA
Rfam family: Bacterial small subunit ribosomal RNA
Source: RNAcentral
AGAGUUUGAUCCUGGCUCAGAGCGAACGCUGGCGGAAUGCUUAACACAUGCAAGUCGCACGGCUCUUUCGGGGGCAGUGGCGGACGGGUGAGUAACGCGUAGGAACGUGUCCUGGACUGGGGGAUAACGCUGGGAAACUGGCGCUAAUACCGCAUAUCUCCUGAGGGAGAAAGCCGCGNNGCGGUUUGGGAGCGGCCUGCGUCCGAUUAGCUUGUUGGUUAGGUAAUGGCUGACCAAGGCGAUGAUCGGUAGCUGGUCUGAGAGGAUGAUCAGCCACACUGGGACUGAGACACGGCCCAGACUCCUACGGGAGGCAGCAGUGGGGAAUAUUGGACAAUGGGCGCAAGCCUGAUCCAGCAAUUCCGCGUGGGUGAAGAAGGUCUUCGGAUUGUAAAGCCCUUUCGGCGGGGACGAUGAUGACGGUACCCGCAGAAGAAGCCCCGGCUAACUUCGUGCCAGCAGCCGCGGUAAUACGAAGGGGGCUAGCGUUGCUCGGAAUGACUGGGCGUAAAGGGCGCGUAGGCGGCACGGACAGUCAGGCGUGAAAUUCCUGGGCUUAACCUGGGGGCUGCGUUUGAUACGUUCGAGCUAGAGGAUGGAAGAGGCUCGUGGAAUUCCCAGUGUAGAGGUGAAAUUCGUAGAUAUUGGGAAGAACACCGGUGGCGAAGGCGGCGAGCUGGUCCAUUACUGACGCUGAGGCGCGAAAGCGUGGGGAGCAAACAGGAUUAGAUACCCUAGUAGUCC